UACGAAGGGGGGCUAGCGUUGUUCGGAAUUACUGGGCGUAAAGCGUGCGCAGGCGGCUUCUCAAGUCGGGGGUGAAAUCCUGGAGCUCAACUCCAGAACUGCCUUCGAUACUGGCGAUCUCGAGUCCGGAAGAGGUGAGUGGAACUCCUAGUGUAGAGGUGGAAUUCGUAGAUAUUAGGAAGAACACCAGUGGCGAAGGCGGCUCACUGGUCCGGUACUGACGCUGAGGUGCGAAAGCGUGGGGAGCAAACAGGG
This 255-nucleotide ribosomal RNA is filed under the name uncultured bacterium. RNAcentral describes it as "partial 16S ribosomal RNA". It matches the Rfam family "Bacterial small subunit ribosomal RNA", at positions 524 to 777 of the family's 1533-position model. The record is from RNAcentral.